AGCAGCCGCGGUAAUUCCAGCUCCAAUAGCGUAUAUUAAAGUUGUUGCAGUUAAAAGCUCGUAGUUGAAUUUCGGGAUCAAUUAAUUGGUCGUGCCUCUGGUACGCACUGGUUUUAUUGGUUUCUCCCUUCUGACGAACCACGAUGUCAUUAAUUUGGUGUCGUGGAGAAUCAGGACUGUUACUUUGAAAAAUUGAGUGUUUAAAGCAGGCUAACGCUUGAAUACAUUAGCAUGGAAUAAUGAAAUAGGACGUUUGAUCCUAUUUUGUGGUUUCUAGGAUCGACGUAAUGAUUAAUAGGGAUA
This 303-nucleotide unclassified non-coding RNA is filed under the name uncultured Glomus. RNAcentral's name for it is "SSU rRNA". It matches the Rfam family "Eukaryotic small subunit ribosomal RNA", at positions 569 to 880 of the family's 1831-position model. Lineage: Eukaryota; Fungi; Glomeromycota; Glomeromycetes; Glomerales; Glomeraceae. The record is from RNAcentral.